UUUGGGCGAGAGUAGUACUAGGAUGGGUGACCUCCUGGGAAGUCCUCGUGUUGCACCCC
RNAcentral lists this ribosomal RNA (59 nucleotides) under Spirodela polyrhiza (greater duckweed). The record is from RNAcentral. Lineage: Eukaryota; Viridiplantae; Streptophyta; Magnoliopsida; Alismatales; Araceae.